GGGGUGGUGGCACAAUUGGCUAGUGUGUAGGUCUCAUAGCUUUAAGAGUAAUCCUAAUGUCAAGAGUUCAAACCUCUCUCACCCGA
This 86-nucleotide transfer RNA is filed under the name Amborella trichopoda. It matches the Rfam family "tRNA". From Rfam's summary of the family: Transfer RNA (tRNA) molecules are approximately 80 nucleotides in length. Their secondary structure includes four short double-helical elements and three loops (D, anti-codon, and T loops). Further hydrogen bonds mediate the characteristic L-shaped molecular structure. tRNAs have two regions of fundamental functional importance: the anti-codon, which is responsible for specific mRNA codon recognition, and the 3' end, to which the tRNAs corresponding amino acid is attached (by aminoacyl-tRNA synthetases). tRNAs cope with the degeneracy of the genetic code in two manners: having more than one tRNA (with a specific anti-codon) for a particular amino acid; and 'wobble' base-pairing, i.e. permitting non-standard base-pairing at the 3rd anti-codon position. Lineage: Eukaryota; Viridiplantae; Streptophyta; Magnoliopsida; Amborellales; Amborellaceae. The record is from Rfam by way of RNAcentral.